Molecule: RNA transcript, 4483 nt
Organism: Mastomys coucha (southern multimammate mouse)
Lineage: Eukaryota; Metazoa; Chordata; Mammalia; Rodentia; Muridae
Gene name: transcription elongation factor A protein-like 8
Exons: 1
Source: RefSeq, a predicted model, not a curated record
UGCCCCGUGCAGCCGGUGCCCUGUGCAGCUGGUGCCCCGUGCAGCCGGUGCCCUGUGCAGCCGGUGCCCUGUGCAGGCCCUGUGGCAUUAGCUUGAGCUGCCCUGUGACAUUAGCAGGCCCUGUGACAUUAGCUUGAGCACCUUGCAUGGGUCUCCCUUGUUUUCUUAGACAUUUAAGUAAGGGCUUGGCUCAGAAAAGACUUCCAGGUCACUUUCUGAUCAAAAAAGAAAUAGCAGGAUUUUAUGAAUUAUGCUAAAUGGAUGUAGUGGCUUUUAAGUAAAUGUCAAAAAGAAAACAAUGAGCAAAGUGUGAACUGUACCAGUAAAGUGCCAUGCUCAUUCUGACAUCAGCACUUUGGGGAUAGUUGUUUAGCUCUUCAGUGUCAGAAUUAUCUGUAGACUCUUCUAAAAUACCUCGCAUAUUAUCUUGGACUUCCAAGUGAAAAGGUGUGCUCUCCUGAAAACCAUUAUCUUAAUAGCCGCAUGAAUUUGUUAAAACCAUUUUCCACCUGGAAUGGUGGUCACCACACAUAGCUUAAAUCUGGAAUGCUAUGAAAAUAAUAGACAGUGGUGACAAUAAUGAAAUAACAACAGCUAAUAUUUAUUACCAUUUUACGAUACAGUGGAUCUGUCACAACUAUAAUCAUAAUGAACUAACUUGCUAGAGAGACUGGGUAAGAAUGGGUUAAUUAUUAAGAUCCACUUUUGGAUGAGAAAAUUAGACACAAGGCUGUCCAGCAUGACACCUGUGCCUGCUGCUUCCUCUGCAGUCCUUUCUCCAGAGGAUGUGCUGUUGACAGCCAGGUGCUGCUAAAGUAAUCCCCUCAAAUUGCCUUAUGGAAGGGAAUAAAAUAUAACUUCAUAUCAAGGUCAAUAUCUAAGUUCACAGACUCUAUUCUGGAGAAGAUAGACCUCUGUUUCAGGCUGUCUGCUCUCUGUGUGCCCUGACAUCUAUAAUAUGGCAUAACCAGUCUGCUGGUUUCACCAAAAGGCAUCAUGGUUGCUUUGCACCUCACAGUGGGAGGAUGAGAAGGGAUAGAAAUGGCAGACUCCCAUAGAUGAAAGUCAUCACAGAGCACCCAUGUCUGUUUUGCAAAGACAGUGUGCCUGCGCAUCAGCCCUGGGUUGACGUGGAGCCAAGAAGCCCUCCCUGUUUUCUUCAGUCAUAUCUGAGUUAGUCCCUCUGCACUUGGCUCCCUGUUGUGAGUGCCCUGGGGGAGUCCAUGUUUUGUAUGGUUGUUCCUAAGCAUGUAUCUCUCCUGAUCCAAGAUUCAUAUAUUCUUCUGCCUUUUCCAUAUUCACAAGGGUCUUCGUCAGCAACUCCCACUUAUGGCACCGGCUUGAGAGGACACUGCUUAGCUGCCCUUUGCUGUUAUCUAAACAGAUGCCAGCUCUGCUCCUUGAUGGCUUUGUGAUUUAUGCUAGCCAGUGGCUAAUCUGCCUGUUUACCCCACCCUGAACAUUUUCAUUUCUUUUCUUGCUCCUGGAGUGCUGGCCUACUCAGUGAAGCCAGUAGAUUCCUUGUCCUCCUCCCUUCCAUAUUUUUGUUUUUUGUUCUUGUUUUUUUUCCCCCUUUUAUAUUAUUUCACAUCUCACAUGUUUUUGUAGUUAAAUUUGAUUUUAAAAGUAGAUCAAAUGUUUUUUACUGCUAUCUUAAAUAUCAAGUAUGUUAAGAAAGAUCUGGGGCCGGGUGAGUUGUUAUAAACUAUUUUUAACUUGACUGAAACUACCAGCAGUAAGAAAGAGAAUCUGUAAAUGUCUCUCUAAAUCGGGUACCAUUGACCAUUCCUUGUCUUUCUUUCCUGGUUUGGACUCCGCUGCUGGUAGGAAAAUUUUUUACUUAAGUAAAAUAAAACUUCAUAAAUCUUGGCUUAACCUGAAGAGCCAUUCUUGGUUUCUUUUCCAGCUGCCCUCCAUAGUUUUUCCUGGAACCUUCUGUUCCCUCUGGACCACAGUUCCAUUAAUUCAAGAUCUUCUCCCCUUUGCCCCUCUUCUCGGGUCACUCCAGGGUGAUCACCGGUGAUAUGAUGACAGCUUUAAUUUCAGUUCAUUUGGCUUAGUGAUGAGCAUAUAGAGCCACACUACUGGGGGUCCCUCCUGCUGACCCUGUGCUGCUUGCACCUUUACUUCAGUGUUUCUUACACCAACUGCAUCUUUUACGUUCAUUAUGGCCAUCAUCCUCUAGGAGAGAGAACUGAGUCCUGGGUAUGCACAAGAGCAGCAGAGCAUGUGACUUCCUUGGUCUGGUCCCAUUCUAAAACCUAUAACCUUCCCACUGUUCACUUCAAGUCCACUCUCCAGCAAGACUUGCUAAUAUUUUCUCCUCAAAAGCACCCAUAAGGAAAUCUAGACAGCGGUUCUCAACCUUCCCGAUGCUGCAGCCCUUACAACAGUUCAUCAUGUUGUGGUGACCGCCAACCAUAAAAUUAUUUCAUUCCUAUUUCACAACUUAAUUUUGCCACUGUUAUGAAUUGUAAAACAAGUGUCUGAUACGCAGGAUAUCUGAUAUGUGACCCCUGCGAAGGAGUCGUUUGACCCCCAAAGAGUCUGCAACCUACAGAUUGAGAGCUGCUGGUCUAACAGACAUUCUGUAUUGCAUGCCUUUGAAAGUAAGAAGAGUCAACAUAUUUCUGCACUAUAAGCUUAGUUCAUGUUAAAUGGCACUUUUUAUUUGCAGCAUGUAUAUAAUUUACCACCUUAACAGGAUAGAACAUCUUGUUCAGCAGAAAUAACUCAAGGAUAGUGAAAAUAGAUAUUUACACAGUUUUGACCAAGAUGGCAACAUUGUAAUUACCUUCACCUUCUGCUCAUGCUUAUGUGAAUACCCCAUAGUUACCAAUGUGGAAUCUUCUGUACUGUGAAUCAAAAGUUCCUCCAGUAUCAGGAGAUUCCCCUAGCAGGCUCCAAAUGUUAAGUUUAUUAUCUUACUAUCUUUUAAAGCAUUUGGGGGCUCUUGGUAGAUGGAUAAGGACAACUUUAUUUCUAAAGUGUUUAAGUUUAUUGUUUAUAUUUAGAUUAUUCAAGGAAAGAGGCAUUGGAGUUGGAAGAGGGGUCCACACAGCAACUCGUGCCACCAAACAGUGGAGCCAGUUUUGUUCCAGGGUUUUAGCAGAGUUCAGGAUAGCUAAGGUUUGAGUUCUGCUUACAUUUGGCUAAGCACUACUUCCUGUUUCUGAACAAAGAAACCUUAAUGAGAUCUGGACAUGAUGUACAGAAGUGAUUUGUAAGAGGGAAGAAUAAAUGACUUGGAAAUGUGUCUAGGUUAGUUUUCCAUGAAGCAGUCUCCUCCCACCUUCACCUCCCUUGCAAGGCUAGGUUGGUCCUAUGAACAACUGGGACACUUUGCCAGAUUGGUGAUGGCCACUAAAUCACACUGUCCCUGAUACAAGAAACCAGAGGUGCAGUUCCUCAGUAGAAGCUCAGUCCUGCUAGAGAAGAGUGGCCCAGCUACUUCCAGGACUCUUGAUCUUUUGAGCAUGACAUAAAUUGAGGUGCAAGAAGAGAGGAAAAUCUCCAGAUACCUACAGGAUUAAUUCAUGAAGAAAAAAAUAAUCAACAUCACAAAGUCUUGUGAUGAGAACGAAGGAACACCCCAGAACACACCAAAAGCAGAUGAAGGCUUCUUCAGAAGAUUCACCACAGCAGGCAGGAGGAAAUCUUCCGGCUUCUGGAGAAAAUGAGGGAGGAGACUGAAGGAAGCCUUAGAGGAGAGCCUGCUGAACCCAGCCAAGAGCCUAUGAGGACACUCCUGCAAGGCACCGAACCCUGAGGAAGUAAUGAGAGGAGUAGAUGAGCUGGAAAGGCUUAGGGAAGAGAUAAGGGGAGGAAGGAACACGUUUGUGUUGAUGCAUUGGAAGCAAAGACUCCGGAAGCCGUCCUGACCCUGUGUGCUUCAGGCCUUGAAAUUGGUUUUUCUCUGAUAUUGAAAUGUGGCUGCUGCUUUCUUUCUCUUAGCAUUUUCUGAUGUUUCUUUGAACUUCAUUUUACUUUUAAUAAUAAUUACCUGGCGGUGUUUUCUGUUAUGUAGUUUUGUUGUUACCAGCAUCUAAUUGGAUUUUGGAAUUUUUGGACCCAUUUUCCAUGUUUAUCUUUCAGUUGGAAAGUUUCAUACUUGUGCAUGGAAAUAUACAAUUAAACAGCAGAUUGAAAAGCAACAUAUUUAGGAUCAGUUCACAUAUAUAGGAAAAUUCCUAAUUAUGUGUGUACAUGUAUAAUUAUACAUAUCAAAAAACUUAACAGCACUUAUUUUUGGUGUGGUGUGUUUUAAUUUUGCCUUUUGCUUAUGUUGAUUUUUUAAUGAAUACAUAUCUCAUAAAGAACUGCAGAUUUUUUAAUCAGUGGGAGUUAAUUAAAAUUAAUUUGUAACCAGCUUGUAGGGUCAAUAAAGGCACUAAACCUUUUGAUGAACUAUUAAAAAGAAAUGUAAACCUGAAAUUACCUCUUGGCUUGCUUAGCCAGAGGAAUAAAACUGACAAUCAUUAUU